ACUUCCUGUUUCUCCAUAUUACUGAGGAUCUAAUUCAUUAUUAAGAAGGAGAAGCUACAGGGUUCCAGAGAUGGCCCAGUCACCAGAACUGCAGUUAUCAAAGGUUUUCAUCUUGCAGCAUUGUGUUGGGUCUGAAGGACUUCAGCAUUCAAACCUUCCUUUCAACAGAUAUUCCGUUAACAAGUGUGGGAGAAUCCUCUGUCUUCGGGCUUGCAUUAUUUGUACAGAGAAGUAACCCCUCAUUCUCAUCUUGAGCUUCUGUGCGGGUGUGAAGCUGGGAAGGUGAAGCCUGGAUUGAGCUGGAGAUGCCACAGUGAUGGACAAACUGCUAAAGAAACCACACCAAGAGAAAGGAAUGUGUUGCAGUCAACCAAGCUAGAAGGGGCUGGAGAUCUGAAGUCGCCUUUGACAUAGAUUCAGAAUGUGGAGUCUUGCUUCAAUCCUCACUGUACCUGCUCUUUUGCUCCCCUUUGGAAUGGUAAUACGUAUUCUGUGCCAUGGUCAAAUCUAAGUGGAUCAAGGAACUUCACAUAAAAC
This is a long non-coding RNA of Mus musculus (house mouse), 537 nucleotides long. RefSeq annotates it as predicted gene, 52332. Lineage: Eukaryota; Metazoa; Chordata; Mammalia; Rodentia; Muridae. The record is from RefSeq and is a predicted model, not a curated record. The transcript is spliced from 5 exons.